Molecule: long non-coding RNA, 11380 nt
Filed under: Heterocephalus glaber (naked mole-rat)
Lineage: Eukaryota; Metazoa; Chordata; Mammalia; Rodentia; Bathyergidae
Description: lncRNA (ENSHGLG00100048870.1)
Source: RNAcentral
CCGGCAUCCGCGUGAGCCCCACGGUGACGCGCUAAGGUGUGGGUCAGCCCGGCGCUAGCUGAUGGAGCCCCACGCCGGGCGGCGAGUAGGGCCCGGUGCCACCGUCAGGGCAGCUCUGCAAGGUGUGAAGAGGCGCCCGGUGGACCGGUGGCCUGAGACUCGGAACCAAGCAGAAGCCCAAUUGCGGAUCGAUUGCCACUGGUGCUGUUACCCUAGAGGCUGUGGGAAUACAGGACACGGACCUUUUCGGUGAAAAUGCAUCCAAUGAUAAAGUCCCUCCCCUAAGAGCCAACAAAUGAAGGUCCGAAGUACCACGAAAAGCAGGGUUAUCUGCGCUUGUGUGGUGGAAUGAAUAAGCAGACAGAACUACAGAUUUUUAGCUCCUUCAUUCCCAGUUCAUUAGGAUUAAAUCGGUGUGCUUAGAAUUUUGGAAUCAGAGGUGUUUGAUAGUACGGUUUUCCAAGAUCUUUUACAGAAUUGGCUAGCUUUUUAUGUCACCCAAAAGGAAUUGCCCACUGGAAUUAAAAUAGCAUAACAGUGUUGCUUUUGGCAUUUGACACGGUUAAAUAUGCAAACCAAAAGAGAAACAAAUAAAUCUCAACUAAAUAUUCAGCUUGAAAGCUGAAGCAAAAACGUCAGGAAAUGUAAGGAAAGACUGAUAAAAUAACCAGAAUGCCUUAGUAGAAACAGCGUAUUAGCUUAUCUACAUUUAUAAAUGUAUAUUAAUUACAGUCAAUGUGAAUCAAAUAAACGAAGGAGUACUGUUACAUUUUGUAUUUUCUCAUCAUUUUUAAUGAGAAUAUGAACAAUAUUAAGGUCCAAUUUUCCUUUUUUUGUUUUUUAGUUUAACUCAUUAUGGUUGUAAAAUAAAAAGACAGCAAAACCUAUAAGCAAUUAUCUCUGUCCAAUUGGAUAUUGCUACUCCAAACCACAGCUACAUGACUAUCAACCAAUGAUUGUGAAAACCACAGUGGAGAGGGGCAUCGGGGAACGAUAUUGCAAAACCACAGCAAGGACUGAGUCUGUGAUACUGAAAGCCACAAUUCACAACUAAUGCCCUGUGUGUUGCAAAUUACCGUUUAACUAUAAAUGCGGAAAUGUAAAAGUAACAGCACAAAAUCAUUUCUCAUUUACUUAAAAAUGAAUUAUUCAUUUUCUGGACUUGCUGGUUUAAUGUCUACCUAUGGUUUACAUGGAAAAGUUUCUGCUUUCAAAAAGCAAAUCCUUUGAAAUACCAAAGAAGAUAUCGGUCAAUUUAAAAACAGAAGACAUGCAACUUUUAAUCAUAUUUUGUGAAAUGUUAAAAAAUUGAUCUGAAAGAAAUAUAUACCUCUGAAUAGCUUUCUUCAUAAAGUUCUUUGGAAAUGAAAAGGUUUGUUAGUGGAAACUGUUUGGGGGCAAAGCUCAAAGUAUUCUAUUACAACUUUGAUGAAAAUAUCAUUACCCAUGUUCAUAAAUAGUCAUUUUUAGCUAGAAAACAUGUCUGACAAUGAAACAAGAUGCCAAUACCAAAACUUCUUUAAUAUGGGAAAUCAAGUGUUGGCUUACAAAUGAGUAAAAUGACAGCACUUGCUAUCUUCUAAGAUUGCUACAUUUUUCAAAUGAAUUUACAAAGUGCCCAGUUAAACGUGAAUUUCAAAAAAGGAAAACUAGUUCUUUAGGAUAAGUAUGUCCUAUAUACUCUUUGGGUGUAUACUUCUCCUAGAUAAUAAUUGGGGCUUAUCUGAAAUUCAGAUGUAACUGGGCAUCUUGUAUUUUAUCUGGCAAAUCUGUAAGUUCAGCAUUUUACCAUUUUCACAUACUUGUGGUUGUUAUAAUAUUGUUUAUAGAAAGGCAGAGAAACCCUAACAUGUUUCUUGCAGGCAUAAAUAUAUUUAAUUCUUGAAUGGUGUAUUAUUCAGAGAAGGCAAGGUAGAAGGAAUAAAUUUCUCUAAAAAAUUCUUACUUUAUUUGGCGCAGUAUAGAAAUGCACUCCCAGUGUAAAUGGGUUGCAUUCAUGUAUGUCUUACUCUUAGAUUUGUUUUUAAAAUGUGUUUUUUCCUCCAAGGGAUCAACAAAUUGAUAAAGCAACCUCUAAGGCCACAGCUUAUUAGACAGCAAGCUGCCUUCUUUAUUAUGGGAGUAAAUAAUAUCACAAAGCUUCAGAAAGACUUAAUUUUUGCCCUUGUAUCCACACCAGAAAUUGAACACAGUUUAUCUGCCUUGAUUUAAGAUUAUGAUGCUGAAUUGAACAAGAAUACUGUAUGAAAAUAGUGUUUAGUAUUUAUGGAUCUUUAUAAUUAAAACAUUUUAAAAAUAACAAUCAACAAAUUCAUCUAAAUCCCAUUCCUGUUUCAUAACUAUGAAAAACACUAUCUUCUCACUUGCAAAGGGGCCCAAGGCUUUGGAAAGAUUCAGUCCAUCCAGAUUGGGGCUUUCACUCAAGCUCCCUAUGGACUGUGAAGCCCUGGAAAGAAGUCUGUAUGUACAAAUAAUUUUCUACGGAGUGGCUCUAUGAAGUUCAUCAGCUUUCCAAAUUACAUGAAGAAGAUGCUGUGAACCAGUGUGGGUUAGGAAACACUGCUGUCUUUCCUGGUCACCGUUGAGUCCCUUCCUGCCCGGACCCACAUGGCUCCCAGCACUACAAACACAGCACACAUGUCCCACCCUGUGAGCACCCGAGACUGUCGCAGGACCAUGAGGCUCAUUCCACAGAUGGAGAUGGGCGUCUGAGUCCACACCUGGCCUGCAGCUGGCCAGGCCCCGGCCCCGGGCGGCAGCCUCCUGUGAGUGUCGUGUUGGGGAGUCCUCCGCAGAGAACCCUCCCCCACUGCCUGUUCCCAUCGACUCGGUCACCCUCCCUGGGCCUGUGCAGUCCCUGGGUGACUCUAGGCACCCAGCCUUCCACUCUCCCUAGGUCCCCUGGGCCACCCAGUCUCUAGCCCUGGCUGAGCGCCUCAGUCUCCCUCUUGCCCCAGGCAGACCUUCAGCUCAGAGAAAUUGUCAGGACCACAAGUAUUACUGACAGCCACAACAAAGCUGGGCCGGCUGACUGGCUUUCCUGAGGAGGCCUAGUCUUCGCUGGAAGCUGGAGAACAGCACCUUUGUCAAUAUGAGAGGCAGCCUAGGGAGCAGGCGCCUGCCACUUCCUUAACCACCCGAAGGCAUUCGGUGAACGUGUGUUCCAAAAUAAACCUUGGGCAGGCACUUAAACUUACGAUUUUUAAAAACAAUCUUUUAAAAUUAGAAUUAUUUUCAUUCUUACAAAAUUCAGUUUAAAAAAUGUUGUGAAAGGAAGAACUACCGCAGAGCCAGAUUAUGAACUUGCUCAGAGCUAAGGGCGGAGAUUUGGGACACCAAGGCUGAGCUAGACCAGUGGUCUAGGGCUGGGAGUCCCGGUCCCCCGGCCUGGGGCAGAAGACAGGAGGGAGGGGAGAGCAGGAAGGUGAAACCAGGGACCUGAAAUGCACUUCUGGAGGAGAGAAGAGGAAGGAGAAUUGCAUGCUGAGUAAGGAAGAGCAGAGGAGCCAUGGGAGGAAGAGCCCAGGACAGAGGCUGGGUCACAGCUGGGGAGGGAUAGGACUCCCAAGACGAGAGGCAGUCAGACCAUGGGACCCCGUGCAGACCAGGGAUGGGUGGAAAACAAGAAUGAGGGUAGGGAUGGUCCCUGUGUGGGACAGAAUGGGCAGUGAAGAGCACAAGGAAACAGCUGAAGGCCCACGCUGAGGAAGGAGGGACUUAGGGAGGCACUGCAGGAGGCAGUGUCGGGAGACAGGGCGGGCCAGGGAGACCACAGGGAAGGAAGCCAGAGUCACCAGAGUAGGGCAGCAGAGGGCACCCAGACAGGGAGCCCUGAGGCCAGAGCUGAUCCUUCACAACCACUGAGUGAGGCUGGAGCCUCAUCUGGCCAGGAAUGGAAACACUCUGCAACACCAGUGGAGUCAGUACUGCCCCUUGCAAAAACUCAAGACGAAAUGCAUGGGUCCGGAGUGUUGAGCAUUCAGAUGUAUAUUCUUGGAGUUUUUAUAACCCUUUAUAACCAUCACGUUCAUGUCCUUUUGCAUUUUAUGUAGUUGGUUUAUAGGCAAGCACAAACAUUGGGGAAGAAGAGGUGAUUGUUAAGAGACCAGCAUUGUGUCUGAGUAUGUGCCUUUCUGGUUGAGCAGUUACCUUGCACCUCUGAGAAGAAAUGAUGGCCUUUAAUGAUGCCAUAUUACAUAUACUGUAUUUGGAAGGGUUUUAAAUGUCUUAGCUGGUAAGACUGGAGAAUAUAGGGUGUUAAUAUGUCCUUAAAAUUUUAACAGCUACCUACCCUGAGUCCGGUCUGACCAUUAAAUCAUCCUAGAACCACAAAUCUGAUUCCAGAAAUAAAUCUAAAAGAAAUAAUUACCAUUCCCACAGGUCCAUUAGUAAGAGUGGGCCAGUGAUUAAGCAAUUGUCCCUCAGUGCCAAGCCAAACUCCACAGUGGGCUUGGAGGCACGAGGGCUAAUGCUCUGCAAAUUACAUUUCUCCACUGCCAUCUGGCCCUCUUCUACUUGGCCAGUAGUAGGGCACUGGAGGAAGCUGAAAGGCAGAAGAGGAAACAAAGAACUUGCUCCUUCCUCUGUCCUUGCUAUCCCUGCCAGCUCGACCCCACCGAAGCCUUCUCCCCCCAUUUCCAAAGAUCAUUUGCUCCAGAGUCAGAUCCUUCAGCUCUGAGUCCACUUCGUGGGUCUGAGGGGCUCCCUGACUUGUGGGGUGUUCAGUCUGGCCGUGGCCUGGGCCGAUCCUCGUGGCGGCCCUCUGUGGGCCUUCUAGGCACUGCUGGUCCUCAGCCCUCCUCCCUGGGUGGCACCCUGUGGAUGGCAGCUACUCCCUGGAGUUAGGUUCUUGGUGCUGCUUCAGGGUCGCCAUGUUCCUCGCCGGCCCUUCAAUCCUUAACGUCCAGUUUCUUAUACAAAUUUUUCUCUGGCAGAAAAACUCAUACAGUUGUCUUUUCAUGACCCAAUUCUGACUCAUGCAGAGAAGUUCAAGGUCUUCUGUAGGGAACUUUAUAGGACCUGUCUCAAAAUUCCUCUUAAAUCUCCAUCUUUCCAAAGUAGCUUACUCCCUGCAGUUGUUAAAAGUUCGUCCACUCUGCCACCCAGCUGUCCCGGUUUAUGUUUCACUUCCGAGGGUCAUCAGUCCCCUUAAUCCACCACACCCAGGUAUGGAUUUCAGAAGUGUGGCUCUGGGGCUCCCUCCCCCUGUGAAGCCACAGAAGAGGCUUCUGUGCUUCCCGCUGAAUGUUUUCCAGUGCUUUUCUCGAAAAUUAGCCUUCCUGACACUAAUGGAAAAGAAAAGCCAUCACCUUGUUAGGUAGCUUGGCUGAAUCUUUGUGGUCUUCCAUAAAAGGAAGCAUAAAAUGUAUUUAUUCACAUGGUCAGAAGCCUCUCCUAUUUAUGGUAUUUUUUUUCUUUCUUUUAAAAGCCAAAUACUGUUCUUUUUGCUUUCUUAUUUUAAUGUAAUAUAAGUAGAUAUCAAUAAAGAAAAUAUAAAAAGCACCCUUCUAUGAAAAAAUAAAACAAUUUCAUAACAAUUACAGAGUAACAGUAGUUGUGUUCUUUUUCUUUCUCCCUGGACAAGCAGGAUUCCUUUGGAAUGCAGUGUCACAUAGCCAGGUCACAAACAUUGCUGUGGGCCCCUGUCUGAGAAAGCACACUGACACAGCGCUCUAACCCUGUCCCAUCCCUUCUAGGUUUUGUGGGAUAACAUCACUAAGAACACCCCCUGACCACCAGUGUGGGCCCUGCCCACAGACUGGGAAGCAUGGAGCAAUCCACACGACCUAUCCAAGUGGCCCUUGCAAUUCCACUUGGGGUGGGGUCCUUGUCAUCACAGCAAAUUGGGAAGGUGUCACCCAUGUUGUGUCCCUCCGCUUUCCCUAACAGGGUCUCUGGAGGGCAGAGUUUAUCUCUUAUUAGCUUGUUUCUUUCAGAAAGUAUCUGCAUAAGGACAGUCAAUUGCAUUUUAUAUGAAGACACAACCAAGUUCACUCUGAUAUGUUUACUUACUCAUUUGCGAUGGCCUAAAGGUCUCAUCUGCAUUAUUCAGCUGAGAAGCAAGAGAGAGACUUUUUGUAAAAAAUACAGAUAUCAUCCCUUUCCUACAAGAAAUGAAGAGUAGGUAAUGGUAUUUCCAUAUAUUUAAAUCUUUGACUUUCACAGGGAAGAAUAAUUCAUUCUUGGUUGUUUUUUUUUUAAAUCAUGAGUCACUGAAAUAAGACAGAAUAGGGGUGAGGAGGCACAUUUGGAAUGGUGCUGUGAGGCUCUUCCUGAGCUUUCUCCUCAGUACAUCAACUAUAACUGGUAAAAAUUCUGUGUGUGUGUUUGUAUUUCCAUUUAAGGUCUCUGAAACUGUCCUAAGGGCAUACAGAAAAUAGAAAAAAUAUUCCAGAAAGUCAAAUAAAACUAAGAUUUGGUAAGAAGAGUGAAAACGGGAGACCGGUAAAUCAUGAUGUACUCUCCACCCCCAAGUCAGGGAAGGAAAACUUGUAAUCUUGACAGUUGUUGCCCAAAACACAGGCUCCUCUGUCCCCGAGAUUCCAGCCUGGAGUGCAGACUGCUCUCUGGCAGGAGGAGGCAGGAAGUGAUACUUCAGCCUCUGAGUUCCACGUGGCAAAAGCUGUCUUCCAGGAAAGAGGGACCUAGAGGUCUUUGACUUCCUUCUUCCACUCAGAAAGCAAAUGUUUAGAAAUUUUGCUCAAUUGAAGGAGACAUGUCCUCUCCAAGAUAGGCAAGAAUGCUGAGCCCCAAACACCUCAAACCACACUCACUCUUCUGGCAGAGGUUCUGUACAGAAGGGUCAGUUUAAGAAGACAAGUGAAACUGCCCCCACCCAUCUCCUGUCUUGUAGAACAGAAGCACCAUGGUGGGAGAAGUGUGUGGUCACCAUCCUCAUUCCCAGCUGUGGAGCAAAGCCAGAGAGGUUUUGUCCAGGAGAGAGGUAUAAGAAGAGAAAGUUUUAUGGUUAACCCCAAGAGAAUUGAAUUUGCUUGGAAAAAAGAGUGAAAUUCCAAGCCUGAAAGGUGCCAUAAAAAAGUGAAGAUUUGCAGGAUAACCAAUUAAGCAGUCAAUAACUCUAUGCCAGCAACAAAUUCAACUGUAGACCAGGUAAAAGUUUAAUACAGAGAACCAAGUAAAGAAUCAGAUAAAUCACUUCUGAGGACAAAAUUAGAUAUGAAGAUUGGUUUUAAAUACUAGCCUUACCAGGGACCACAAAUUUAACUGGAUCAGACUACAGGGCAGUGUAUUUCUCAGGGCAUUAUCAAAAAUGAUGGAGUGGUCAGUGAACAGUUACUAGAGGCUAACACCUUCCUGUGAUAACAAUAGGGACAGACUAGCCAGAAGUCUAAGAGAAAGAUCAGGAAGAGAGCAGGAGAGGAGAGGAGAGACAAAGAGAAUCCUUUUAAAAGCACUGUCUCUCAGGAUAACUGUGUCCAUCCCCCAUGCUCUGUCUUCUGAAGACAAACUCAGAAGCUGCCAGUUGAAGACAAAGGCUUCAUUAAAGUAGUCCAGGAAAGUCACCAAAAAUAAACAAAAACAUCAAUGAGUCCUGGGCUAGAGGGGAUAUGUAUCCGGAGAUAUAUUAUGUAGAAUGUCCAAUUUUCAACAAAAAAUAUGAAAUGUGCAAAAAUACACCUUGUGGUAUCUUAGUUACUUUUCUCAUUGCUGGAACACAAUACUUGACACCCCCAAGUUGAAGGAGGAAAGGUUUAUCUUAGCUCACAGUGUGUAGAGAUUUCAGUCCACAGUUGGCUGGCUCCCAGGCAGGACCUCAAGGUAGAUGGUCAUGGCAGAGAAGAAUCAGUCCAUGGCAUGGUAGGCAGUAAGCAGCAGCCUUCCUUCAUUCCCUUCUCAUUCUAUCCAGGCUACAAGCCUAUUGGUUGGUGACAUCCACACUUGGGGUGGGUUUUUCAUCUUCAUUAAAUUCAUUCAACCACAUCCAGAACUAUGCUAAACCACUCAGUGGACUAAUCCAGUAUCACACACCCAAAUCCAAUACUGUACACCCAUGAUCCAGUCACUCCCAAAGCCCUUUCUGUGAAUGCAUGAAGCUUUAGAGGGUGAGGAUGUCUAGAAAAAAGCCAUAACAUGACACAUACAUGUUUUAAAAAUUAACAACAAAAACUACCUGUGAGAGGGCUCAGAUGUUACAGUACAAAACCUUCAGAGCAGCUAUUAAUAUAUUUUAAAAUUUUAAAGAAAUACUACUUAGCAAGUAAAGGAAUGUAUACAACAUUACCUCAUAAAAUAGAGACUACUAACACAAAGAUAGAAACUGUAAGAAAGAACCAAGCUGAUAUUCUGGACUUUAAAGCAAAAUAAUUGAAGUAAAUAAUUCCAUACAGGAGCUCAAUAGUAAUUUGAAUUCACAGAACAAAGAAAUAACACACAUGAAAUUUGGUGGUACACACCUACAGCACUCAGGAGGCUGAGGUAGGAGGAUUGCCACAAGUUCAAGGCCAGCCUGAGUUACAUAGUGAGCUCAAGCAUCGCCUGAACUGCAUAGUAAGACCCUGUCUUAAAAAAAAUACAUAAGAUUUAAUUGAUAGACUGAUUAUUCAAUCCAAAAACAAAAAUGAAAAAGAUUAAAGUGGAAAUUAACAGAGCCUCAUAGAAAUAGGGAACUACACUAAAAACAUCAAUAAAUGUAUAACUGGCAUACCAAAAUAAGAGGAAAAAGAGAGAAAACAGUAGAAAAAAAUAAUUGAAGAAAUAAUCAUCAAAAAAUUUUCAAGUUUGAUGAAAAACAUGAAUUUAUACAUCUGAGAAGCUCAACAAACCCCAAGUAGGAUAAACAAAUAAAUUACAGUGAGACAUAUAUUUGAAUGUUAAAUGCCAAAGACAAAGAGAAAAUCUGGAAAGCAGAAAGAGAGACUGUCCUCAUGGAUAAACAGCCAGUUUCACAGGAGAAGCCAUCCUCUGUUGCUUUCUGUCUUGUGUUCAUCCAGUUCCUUUCUAUCUCCCCUAGUCCUUCUCUUAGAAUGGAAAUGUGUACCCUGUGCCAUUGAAUGUUGGAAAUAUUUAACUUUCUUUUAAUUUUCAUAAGGGCUCACAGCUAAGAGCUUGCCUUGAGUCUCAGAGGAGACUUUGACUUGGGGUUUUCAUCACUGCUGAAACUGUUAUGACUUUGACCACUUGUAGGGGUAGAGUAAAUGUAUUUAACGUAAUGAGGUGAACAUGAGCCUUCUGGGGCAGGGCAUAGAAGGCUAUGGUUUAGAUCAAGAGUGGGGCUUCUGGAAGGUGGUAGCAUCACGAGGGUGCUGCAGUCUUCAGUUAUCUAUUGACAAGUCCAUAGGUGAAUGUGGUGUUACGAGGGGGGCCUUGUUUGGAAGAGGUGUGUCACUGGGAGCAUCCCUUGGGAGGGCAUAUAUUCCUCUUUUAUGCCUCCCUUCUCUCUCUGCUUCUGUCUUCCAUGAGGUGAGCAGCUUUCCUCUUCUAAGCCCUUCUGCCAUGUUUCUAUCUUGGAGCCCACCAAUCAUGAACUGAAUCCUCUGAAAUUUGUGAGCUAAAGUAAACUUCUCCUCUUUUAAGUUAAGAGUGUUGAGUAUUUUCCCCAGCAAUAGGAAAACUAAUUUAAACAAUAAAAUACAUAUUUUCUUAACUGAGUUGAAAAGCAAUGUUAUAAAAUAAUAUGAGUAUUAUUGGACUAAAGGUUUUAUAACAUUCAGAAAUAUAAUGUAUAUGACAAUAACAGCACAAAGGAAACAAAUGGAAGAAAAGAUGAAUUAGAGUGAGGAAAUUAUUCCAGACAGUAAGUCCAGGAAGAAAUGAAGAAAACUAGAAAUGCUAUAUCAGAAGAUUAAUAUAAUAAACUUUAAAUAAAUACUCACUCUUUUGUUCUUCAGCUUUCUAAAAAGACAUAAAAUUAGAUAAAUUACUAAUAACCACUCCAAAAUAUUUUGGGUCUGUAACAUGCAUGUGCAAGAUAUAUGUAACCAAAAUAGCCCAGAAAAGAAGAGGAAAAGAAAGGCAUAGGGAUGGUUUUCUGUACUCGUCGGGAUUAAAAUAGUACAUAUGUGAAGUGGAUUAUGUAUCUCAGGAUAUCUAUCGCAAUGUUAUUAAAAUAACUUUAAAAAACUAUAAAGGAAUUAAGCUCCUACAUAAAAAAUGUUCAGUAAUGGAGAGAAAAGUCUUGAAUUAUAAAAUCAAGUAUCAAAGAAGUGACAUAACUGCCAGCCUAUAGCAAUAAGAAGUUGGUGUGGACAACUAUCUUUUGAACAAAUUAGCAUAGAUAAAAUGAACAAAUUUCUAGGAAGAUGUAAACUGUUUACUCUGCCUUAAAAGCUAAUAGAAAAUAAGAAUACACUGUAACAUUGAAGAAGUUGAAUUAGUAACUUAAAGUUUUAUGAAGAAAAGCCCAGGCCUUCAUUAUUUAAUUCCACCAAACCUGGCAUGACAAACUUUUCUGAAAAACAGAAAAGGAGAAGACAUUUCCAAGUGAAUUCCAGGGAGCAGUAUUACUCUGAUGUUCAAGAUGUGAUAAAGCAGGGAAAGCAUUUACUAAUGAUGGUGAACCUUUUAGAGCUUUCAAUGACACAAAUAACCAGUUGCAGCAUGCGUGCCAUAGGUUCUCCACCACUUGUAUACACUACUAUCUUAUGAUUAUCAACACAAAAACCAUCAACAAAGUAGUCCAAAUACAAAUUCAACAACGUAUAAAAAAGAAUUUAUAUCAUGUGCUAGUGAGAUUUUCCCCUCAGGAAUGCAAGGUCAGUUUCACAUUCCAAAUCAAUUACUGUUAGGCAUAGAACGAAGGACAAAACAUACAUGAUUAUUUCAAAAGAAGAAAAAAUACCCGCAAAACCCAACUGACCAUCUGACAAAAUUCAAAACCCUUUCAUGAUAAAAACACACUCACUAAAACUAGAAAGAGAGGGAGGGUUCCUCAAGUUGAUAAAGUGCAUCUACACAAAGCUUAUGAGCCAGACAUGAUGGCACACACUUAUAAUCCCAGCUGUCUAGGAGGUUGAGACAGGAGAAUCACAAAUUUCAGCCAUACUUAGCAAUCAAUACAGGGAGACUCUGUCUCUGAAUAAAACAUGAAAAAGACUGGAGAUGUAGCUCAGUGUGAAGGCCCUGGGCUUAUUCCCCGGUACCUGCCAGAACUUUUGAUAAUAAAGGACUGAAAGCUUUCUCCCUAAGAUUAGGAAUUAAAACAAGGACUUGCUACUUGAAUUAGUUGUCAUACCAGAAGUUGCAGCCAGAGCACUUAGGCAAGAAAAAGAAAAAUGGCAUCUGGGCUGGAAAUAAAUAAGUAAAACUUUUUACAGGUAGUAUUAUCUUGUAUGUAGAAAAUGCCAGAAAGAAGAACCCAUUACCACUAAUAAACCCAGCAAAGCUGCAAUUUAAAAGAACAAUUGUAUUUCUAUAUGCUGAC